Vitis vinifera (wine grape) is the source of this 630-nucleotide long non-coding RNA. RefSeq lists it as uncharacterized. The transcript has 2 exons. NCBI's taxonomy places the organism in Eukaryota, Viridiplantae, Streptophyta, Magnoliopsida, Vitales, Vitaceae. The record is from RefSeq and is a predicted model, not a curated record.
AGUUGAUUUUGUUCAAAUUUUGCUAUAUUUUCCUUUCUCCUCUAAAAGUUUCUGUCUGUCUUCCUUUCAGAGAGGGAGGAGGAAACUUGCUGUGCCCCCACGAAGAUGAAUCGAUCUGGCAGGUUAUUCACUAGGAUGAAGCAUGAGUAGAAAACAACAAAGGAGAAAAGAAGGAGGAGUUGAUGAUAUUGAUACCCAGGUCCAAUCGGAGCUACUGCUUGAAAUGACCAUCAUGGCUUCAGAGCUGGCCUCAUAAACUCCAGAAUGGCUACCUCCCUUCCGACAAACGCAUCUUAAAGGAUGAGGAUUGGCAGUGGACUACGACUCACUCAUGCUUUCCCUCAUAUAAUUUCUAAUCCCAUUGAAACUGAUGGAAGGCUUUAAUUACUGGAAAGCUUCUGACCUUAUUCUCUUCCUCUCUCUGUUUCUCAUGUAUUUCUGUUUAGUUACUUUGUAAUUGACAUUUGUGAGGCUUUCAGUCUGAGACAGGUAACUUGAUAAGAGAAGGGCAAGCCACACAAGACAUUGACUGAGUCAGUUUCAGGUGACAUGAGCAUUGAAUGGUUACAGCUGAUUUGGUGUAAGGUUCCUUUCUGAUUUAAAUUUGUUAGUUGGCUGUGCGUUUGAAUC